GACGAACGCUGGCGGCGUGCCUAAUACAUGCAAGUCGAACGAGAGCGACCGGUGCUUGCACUGGUCAAUCUAGUGGCGAACGGGUGAGUAACACGUGGGUAACCUGCCCAUCAGAGGGGGAUAACAUCCGGAAACGGAUGCUAAAACCGCAUAGGUCUUCGAACCGCAUGGUUUGAAGAGGAAAAGAGGCGCAAGCUUCUGCUGAUGGAUGGACCCGCGGUGCAUUAGCUAGUUGGUGAGGUGACGGCUCACCAAGGCCGUGAUGCAUAGCCGACCUGAGAGGGUGAUCGGCCACAUUGGGACUGAGACACGGCCCAAACUCCUACGGGAGGCAGCAGUAGGGAAUCUUCCGCAAUGGACGCAAGUCUGACGGAGCAACGCCGCGUGAGUGAAGAAGGUUUUCGGAUCGUAAAACUCUGUUGUUAGAGAAGAACAAGUGCUAGAGUAACUGUUAGCGCCUUGACGGUAUCUAACCAGAAAGCCACGGCUAACUACGUG
This 498-nucleotide ribosomal RNA is filed under the name uncultured bacterium. RNAcentral describes it as "partial 16S ribosomal RNA". It matches the Rfam family "Bacterial small subunit ribosomal RNA", at positions 28 to 507 of the family's 1533-position model. The record is from RNAcentral.